GCAAACCAGCAACACACACGCAGCA
This 25-nucleotide unclassified non-coding RNA is filed under the name Mus musculus (house mouse). RNAcentral describes it as "oocyte_clustered_small_RNA11337". Lineage: Eukaryota; Metazoa; Chordata; Mammalia; Rodentia; Muridae. The record is from RNAcentral.